CCACCUAUUUUUUCCUCAUCUCUUAGACUUUCACUUUACAAACCCUAAAAAACAAACUUACAGCUCUCUCUCCUAUCGGCCACCACCAAGAUCCUCCAUCAGUUCCACAAGAUCACAAGAUGUUGACGUUGAUGCUCCUCCUGAAAUUCUCAUCAAUCAAAAACCCUCUCAAAUUUUGCACAAUUUUCUUCCGAUUUUAUCUAUCCAGCUGAUAUUUUGGCUUUGUCGUCAUUCCGAUUUAAGGUUAUCAAUCCUUUGAUGUUGUUUGAAGACAAUCAUGAUAAUCAGGCUUAUAUGUGAAUCCAUGGAAAUCUCUUAUUGAUUCGGAAUAAAAAUGAACCAACAGCUGCAAAUCCGGAUCUGGGUUCAAAGUAUUUUGUUAUUAAUUUAUGGGUUUGGGUUUUUAUUUUCAAUCUAGAUGGAGGUAAAUAGAGGAAUAUCAAAAAUUCUUUGUUUUUUCAUGACCAGUUACAAGAUUAGUCGGCCUCAAAUUGUAUAAUGUUUAUUACUUAUCCAUAUUACAUGUGUUGUAUGUAACCAAUUAGGGUUCUGAUUAUCAUCUUCUCAUUGUGGCUACAAUUAAGGUUAGCAUUAUUUUGUAUUCUUUUUUGGUUAUACUAAUUCGCAGUAUUCAUAUUGAUGCAACCGAGUUUUAAGUUUUUGUAUUCGUUUUUGUUUUGGCAGAUUGGGGUUUUUUAGUCUUUUGCAACAAUCGUUGCAACGAACUUCGAAGUUACUAACCUCAAUCAAAGGUUUUUUUAAUCCUCUGUUUUAUUACGUGAUUAAGUUUUUUUGAUUUCUUUGUUUGUGAAUAGGGUUGUAUUGUUAUUGUUAACAAAUUUAGCUAGAAGGUUGUAGAAUUCAAGAUCUCUUAAAAAGAAGCUUUUGAUUUUACAAGGAUUGCAAUUAAUUUAUAGUGUAGGACAAUCUGUUUUAUUUAUUAUUUAUUUCAUAUUUAUAUUUAUAAUUUAUUAUUUCUUUUAGAUAUAAUCUUUUAGGUUGGAUUGAUUUGAUGAAAGAUGGAGAGUUCCAUUUGGUCAGAUUUUUGUUUUCAAAAUAGUCAAGGAGUCAAGAAAGCUUUUGGUUGCAAUAGAUCAAAAUCUUUAAUAUCAUUUUAAAAUUGUUUUUAGUAAACUGAUGUUUCUAUUAGAUUGU
RNAcentral lists this long non-coding RNA (1155 nucleotides) under Helianthus annuus (common sunflower). RNAcentral's name for it is "hypothetical non coding rna". Lineage: Eukaryota; Viridiplantae; Streptophyta; Magnoliopsida; Asterales; Asteraceae. The record is from RNAcentral.